RNAcentral lists this long non-coding RNA (936 nucleotides) under Hordeum vulgare. Its description in RNAcentral is "long non-coding RNA (HVUL_LNC014152)". Lineage: Eukaryota; Viridiplantae; Streptophyta; Magnoliopsida; Poales; Poaceae. The record is from RNAcentral.
UCUUAUCUUCUUGCAGACAGGAACAGGGGGUUCUCCCAGCCGCAUGGAAGGGCGCCGUCUCAGGGGAUGCUCCGGCCGCUGGUGGACAAUCCAGGUGAGUUCACUCCCAAAUUCAUUCUGAUCCGUGCGUUUCUUGGUUCUUCAUUGACGUCGGAGUUGGAUUUCCUGGUUUCUGUUGCAGCCGGUACAUCGGCGCAGCCAUCAGGGACGACGGCGAAUGCAGCCGGCGACGGCAUUGCGGGGAUUUCGCAGGCUCUUGCGGGGCUUACGACGGCGACUACAGGCUCCGCCGGCGGCUCUUCCCAGUUCGGUGGAGGUGGGUGCCCAAGAAAUCAAAGCAUACGAGUUUGGGUUGAUCAUGUCGUUUCUUGGAUUGUAACAUCCCAUUGCUUCGUUUCUUAUCUUCUUGCAGACAGGAACAGGGGGUUCUCCCAGCCGCAUGGAAGGGCGCCGUCUCAGGGGAUGCUCCGGCCGCUGGUGGACAAUCCAGGUGAGUUCACUCCCAAAUUCAUUCUGAUCCGUGCGGUUCUUGGUUCUUCAUUGACGUCGGAGUUGGAUUUCCUGGUUUCUGUUGCAGCCGGUGCGCGUCCGCCCUUCCCGUACCUGUACCACGCGCCGACCGGCAAUGGUUUCUUCAACGCCCAGAACCAGAUCGCCGGCCACUUGCAGACGGGAACAGGGCAGCAGCAGAUGCCAUCUCAGGGGAUGCUCCGGCCGCCGCCAGGCAAUCCAGGUGAGUUCCCUCCCAAGAAAAGCGCCAAAUUCUUUCUGAUCCGCGCGGUUCUUGGUUCUUGAUUGACGCCGGAGUUGGAUUUCAUGGUUCUUCAUUGACGCCGGAGUUGGAUUUCCAUGUUUCUGUUGCAGCCGGUGGGCGUCCGCCCUACCCGUACCAGAACCACGCGCCGACCGGCAAUGGUUCGCUCUCCGGCCAGACNN